GUUGAACGCUGGCGGCGUGCUUAACACAUGCAAGUCGAACGGAAAGGCUCCUGCUUGCAGGGGUACUCGAGUGGCGAACGGGUGAGUAACACGUGGGUGAUCUGCCCUGCACUUCGGGAUAAGCCUGGGAAACUGGGUCUAAUACCGGAUAGGACGAUGGUUUGGAUGCCAUUGUGGAAAGUUUUUCGGUGUGGGAUGAGCUCGCGGCCUAUCAGCUUGUUGGUGGGGUAAUGGCCUACCAAGGCGUCGACGGGUAGCCGGCCUGAGAGGGUGUACGGCCACAUUGGGACUGAGAGACGGCCCAGAGUCCUACGUGAGACAGCAGUGGGAAAUAUUGCCCAAUGAGCGCACGCCUGAUGCAGCGACGCCGCGUGUGGGAUGACGGCCUUUGGGUUGUAAACUCCUUUCGCUAGGGACGAAGCGCAAGUGACGGUACCUGGAGAAGAAGCACCGGCUAACUACGUG
This 465-nucleotide ribosomal RNA is filed under the name uncultured bacterium. Its description in RNAcentral is "partial 16S ribosomal RNA". It matches the Rfam family "Bacterial small subunit ribosomal RNA", at positions 28 to 507 of the family's 1533-position model. The record is from RNAcentral.